GGGGAAGCCAGCUGUCUUCUCCUCUGCUCCUCCCCCUUUUCUCCCCUCUGGCUCUGCCCUCUCCUGCUCUCCCAGCAUCUCAGGGGUUUCAGCUGGCACCGAUCUUCAUUGUGUUCCUGCAACUCAAUUGCUCCCCGAUCUCCACGCACGGGACCCCAGGAGACCCCCCUUUUACUGCAGAAUGGAUUUGAACACUAGCACAGCUUAUAGCUACAUCCAGACGGCAAUGAGUCCCAUCAUCUUUGCUGUGACUCAACCGAAGCACUGAACCCUUGACCUGUUUCAUGUUUGGUCUUGACCUUUAAUGUACGUGUGUACAUCACGUCUUGCUCCACACGUCAGACGCUGGAGGUUACUAUUUAUCCCACCAUAUUGGAACAGAACUGAGGCUCAUACCGAGGGCACGUGAGGGUCAUAUGGUUGCCGAAGGGUGAAGCUGUAACAGACACUCAGUGAA
Molecule: long non-coding RNA, 457 nt
Filed under: Mus spicilegus (steppe mouse)
Lineage: Eukaryota; Metazoa; Chordata; Mammalia; Rodentia; Muridae
Description: lncRNA (ENSMSIG00000011572.1)
Source: RNAcentral